RNAcentral lists this microRNA (22 nucleotides) under Pristionchus pacificus. Its description in RNAcentral is "ppc-miR-8234-3p". Lineage: Eukaryota; Metazoa; Nematoda; Chromadorea; Rhabditida; Neodiplogasteridae. The record is from miRBase by way of RNAcentral.
CUCCAUCCCAUCUUCUUUCGGA